Molecule: long non-coding RNA, 755 nt
Organism: Anneissia japonica
Lineage: Eukaryota; Metazoa; Echinodermata; Crinoidea; Comatulida; Comatulidae
Exons: 3
Source: RefSeq, a predicted model, not a curated record
AUCAAACACGCACGUAGUCAGGUAAGUACAGUAUUUACGUGAAUUCACUGACGUGUUACUAAAAAUUGAUUAAUAUGCCUAUUCGUUUUUUGUUUGAAUAGUGAAAUGUUUGUGUACAUAGUUCGGGUGCUCAAAUUAAACAUACACUUGAAGCUCAAAUUGUAUGUGGCUUUCCCUGAAAUUAAUCGUUUUAAAACCGCUUAAAAAUGCUCAAAUCUUCGGAGCGACCCCAACCACCAAAAAGAAAACUCCUGCUACACAAUAUCAAGAAACGAAAUUUAAUUCAACAGUGUGCAACAAAAUUGGAAUAAAAAUAUCCAAUAGCUAAUGAUCUAGUCGAAUCUAGUUUUUGAUAGGCUAAGGCACAAACAUAUAUUCUAGUCAUCUGAUUGGCUAAGACAUUCAGGUUUCAGAAUCUGACUGGCGAAUAGCCAUCAACAUAUUGCAUUGUCAUCAAUGAAAAUAGUACUUUGUCACACUUGCUACAAUACUUUUCUUCAAAGAUAUUCACAACAUAAAAUAUUUAUAUUUUUAUCAGAAUUAAAUGUCAAUCACUCCUCUUCAAUAUUGGACUACAGUAUAUGGUGUUGUUGCUUUAACAUCAGCAUAAUUUUAAAUAUGACAUGCAAAUUCCCAAGCACAUUAUUUCUAUGAUGCAUAAUAUUGUAUCAAAAAACAAAGUAAAUAUUCUGCAUAGAUGACAUUAUAAAAUAGAGUACCUGGUCAAAGACGUAGCAUUGUGGUGUACAGGGAAG